GCCGAACUGGUGGGCCAAGUUCGGUCCGACCUUAUCCCCUGCAAUUUCCCCGCUCUCCCCUCACUCGCCGUGGUAAAACAAUGGCGCUCCAUCUCGCGCGACCGUUCCUGCCCGCCGGCCUCCCGCCGCCGGCGCGCCGCCGCGCUCGUGCCCGGGCGCAUCCCCUCUCCCCCACCGCCGACGCGCGGUCCCCGUCCUUCAGGAGGCCCUACACGUCCGUCCUGGUGGUGCCCACGGGGGUCGGCGCCGCGGUCGGGGGCUUCGCCGGCGACGCCCUCCCCGUGGCACGCGCCCUCGCCGCCGUCGCCGACUGCGUCAUCUCCCAUCCCAACGUGCUCAACGCCGCGAUGCUGUACUGGCCGAUGCAGAAUACGCUUUACGUCGAGGGAUACGCCCUCGACAGGUUCGCCGAAGGCGCCUGGGCUCUUCAGCCAGUCCACCAGAACAAGGUAGGCUUGGUGUUGGACUCCGGGAUCGAGGAGGAGCUCCGGCUCCGCCAUUUGCAGGUCGCCGAUGCGGCGAGGGCUUCGCUCGGCCUCCCUGUUGUGGAGUACGCUGUCACGGAUGCUCCUUUAGAGAUCAAGACCUGGUUCGAUCCGAAGUGUGGGAAAUCAACCGGGAGUGUCGGGAACUCCGAUUCCCUGUUAAGAGCGGUCGACGCGCUAGUGAACCAGGCAGGCGUGAAUGCUGUGGCUGUUGUCGCGCGCUUCCCAGACGACGACCCUGAAGAUUCAGAUUGCUAUAGGGAAGGAAAGGGAGUUGAUCUGUUAGCCGGAGUUGAAGCAAUCAUCAGUCACCUAAUUGUGAAAGAAUUCAAAAUCCCUGCUGCUCACGCUCCUGCGGUGUUGCCCCUGCCACUCAGCCCAUCAGUGUCCCCACGAUCUGCUGCUGAAGAGAUUGGUUAUACCUUUCUACCAUGUGUGCUCGCUGGUUUAAGCACCGCUCCUCAGUAUGUGACGAGGAGGCAGGGUACCUUGGACAGUGGUUGCAUAGUGGCUAGUGAUGUUGAUAGUGUGAUUCUUCCAAGAGAUGCCUGUGGAGGUGAUGGUGCUCUUGCCUUUUCUCGAACUGCAAGAAAGAACAAGCCCUUAAUCAUUACCGUUCAGGAAAAUGAGACGGUGCUCGAUGACACCCCUGAUAAAUUCAAUAUUGAAGCGCUGAAUGUCCAGAACUACUGGGAAGCAAUUGGAGUUAUUGCUGCUCACAAGGCAGGCAUCAAUCCAAAUGCUCUCAGAAAACAAGGAAUUGACCAUCUUAAGAGCCAUCGACGAUUGUACUCUGCCCGAUCUUCUGGUCCUAGGCCAUACGCCUCUUCUGCAACGCAGGAUAAAGUAUAUGUACACCAGUUAGUUUGACAAUUUAGUACAGAAGAAAUCAGUUUUAGCAAGUAGGAGGCUGCAAAUUUUGAAGUCCCAGGUACAUAUUCCACAACAGUAGGAGCAUACAUAUGUAACUUUAUUUCGUUGUCACCCCAUGAGGAAUUACAUUGAUAUGGAUACGUGUCUGCAGUGUCAUUGUGAUCAUGGAUGUUGUACUCAGAAGCCAUUCUUCGGAUCAAUUAAUUUCUUCAGUUGCUAGACAGGGGCAGUGCUAUGCUCCCUGUCCACCACACAAGUGUCAUGCUGAUUGCUUUUUGACGGGCAAUGGGCAGGAGCUCUGCCAAUUCAUUAUAGAAGAAGGGAGAAGGACCAAAAUCCCACAGUUUGGUACAGACAGUGCCAAGACCACAUAGUGGCAAAGCGAAGCAGCUAGUUAAGAUACAGCCUCCCAGAACAAAGCUAUCUCAUCUCUCGCCAUGGCUGUAAUCGUCUCAGGCGAACACCUUUUCUCCUCAAACGUUCGGCGGUUACGUUCCUUCCAGAGAUUCCACACCACGUAGGCCGCCGUGGUUACCUGCUUGCGCGAGUCCUGAAGCUUUCCCAGCCCAAGCGUUUUCCACCACCAAUCCUUGAUGGUAGCAGAAGAUGAAGGAAUGAUGGCCGCCUUGCCGUCCGAGUUCUGAAACCCAUGCCAAACCUCCCGGGCGAAGACGCAGUCCAAAGAUGUAUGAGUCGUCAUGCUGAUUGCUGAGGUCAUUUAUGUCUUGAUGUGUCAUUCUGCGCUCUCAAAUCGUCGACUCUCUGUUGUUGCUGUCUGCAUCUACUCAGAAUACACAUGUUUGUCAGAGUGGGUAGUUGCUGCUUUUGCUUGCUUGUUCCAACUACCAAUCAAACUGCACCUUCAACUUAGAUGAGAUGCAGCUUAUGACUUGCUGUUUGUGUGUGUUAGUGUACUAGAUGCCUGUUUGUUUAUGCUAGCUUGCUGUUGAAGUACAUAUUUACCUGAUUUGCACUUCACAUGCAGAUUCUGUGCCUUUAAAUAGGUAAGAUCUUUUUUCAGCAAUAGUUUCUUUUUCUCACUAGCAUAGUUUAUGCUUUUCAGUGG
This 2424-nucleotide ribosomal RNA is filed under the name Triticum aestivum (bread wheat). Its description in RNAcentral is "partial small subunit ribosomal RNA". Lineage: Eukaryota; Viridiplantae; Streptophyta; Magnoliopsida; Poales; Poaceae. The record is from RNAcentral.